AGUGAACGCUGGCGGUAGGCCUAACACAUGCAAGUCGAACGGCAGCACAGUAAGAGUUUGCUCUUACGGGUGGCGAGUGGCGGACGGGUGAGGAAUACAUCGGAAUCUACUUUUUCGUGGGGGAUAACGUAGGGAAACUUACGCUAAUACCGCAUACGACCUACGGGUGAAAGCAGGGGAUCUUCGGACCUUGCGCGACUGAAUGAGCCGAUGUCGGAUUAGCUAGUUGGCGGGGUAAAGGCCCACCAAGGCGACGAUCCGUAGCUGGUCUGAGAGGAUGAUCAGCCACACUGGAACUGAGACACGGUCCAGACUCCUACGGGAGGCAGCAGUGGGGAAUAUUGGACAAUGGGCGCAAGCCUGAUCCAGCCAUACCGCGUGGGUGAAGAAGGCCUUCGGGUUGUAAAGCCCUUUUGUUGGGAAAGAAAAGCAGCAGGUUAAUACCCCGCUGUUCUGACGGUACCCAAAGAAUAAGCACCGGCUAACUUCGUG
RNAcentral lists this ribosomal RNA (492 nucleotides) under uncultured bacterium. RNAcentral describes it as "partial 16S ribosomal RNA". It matches the Rfam family "Bacterial small subunit ribosomal RNA", at positions 29 to 507 of the family's 1533-position model. The record is from RNAcentral.